CCUACGGGAGGCAGCAGUGAGGAAUAUUGGUCAAUGGACGGAAGUCUGAACCAGCCAUGCCGCGUGCAGGAAGACGGCUCUAUGAGUUGUAAACUGCUUUUGUACAAGGGUAAACCUGAAUACGUGUAUUCAGCUGAAAGUACUGUACGAAUAAGGAUCGGCUAACUCCGUGCCAGCAGCCGCGGUAAUACGGAGGAUCCAAGCGUUAUCCGGAUUUAUUGGGUUUAAAGGGUGCGUAGGCGGAUUGAUAAGUUAGAGGUGAAAUGUCCGAGCUUAACUCGGGAACUGCCUCUAAUACUGUUGGUCUAGAGAGUAGAUGCGGUAGGCGGAAUGUAUGGUGUAGCGGUGAAAUGCUUAGAGAUCAGACAGAACACCGAUUGCGAAGGCAGCUUACCAAUCUAUAUCUGACGUUGAGGCACGAAAGCGUGGGGAGCAAACAGGAUUAGAUACCCGAGUAGUC
RNAcentral lists this ribosomal RNA (460 nucleotides) under uncultured bacterium. RNAcentral's name for it is "partial 16S ribosomal RNA". It matches the Rfam family "Bacterial small subunit ribosomal RNA", at positions 338 to 795 of the family's 1533-position model. The record is from RNAcentral.